UACAGAGGGGGCAAGCGUUGUUCGGAAUUACUGGGCGUAAAGGGCGCGUAGGCGGCCUGUUAAGUCGAACGUGAAAUCCCCGGGCUCAACCCGGGAACUGCGUCCGAUACUGGCAGGCUUGAAUCCGGGAGAGGGAUGUGGAAUUCCAGGUGUAGCGGUGAAAUGCGUAGAUAUGCGGAGGAACACCGAUGGCGAAGGCAAUCCCCUGGACCUGUACUGACGCUCAUGCACGAAAGCGUGGGGAGCAAACAGG
Molecule: ribosomal RNA, 253 nt
Filed under: uncultured bacterium
Lineage: Bacteria
Description: partial 16S ribosomal RNA
Rfam family: Bacterial small subunit ribosomal RNA
Source: RNAcentral